AGUGAACGCUGGCGGUAGGCCUAACACAUGCAAGUCGAACGGCAGCACAGUAAGAGCUUGCUCUUACGGGUGGCGAGUGGCGGACGGGUGAGGAAUACAUCGGAAUCUACUUUUUCGUGGGGGAUAACGUAGGGAAACUUACGCUAAUACCGCAUACGACCUACGGGUGAAAGCAGGGGAUCUUCGGACCUUGCGCGAUUGAAUGAGCCGAUGUCGGAUUAGCUAGUUGGCGGGGUAAAGGCCCACCAAGGCGACGAUCCGUAGCUGGCCUGAGAGGAGGGUCGGCCACACUGGAACUGAGACACGGACCAGACUCCUACGGGAGGCAGCAGUAGGCGAUCUUCCGCAAUGGGCGAAAGCCUGACGGAGCAACGCCGCGUGAGUGAUGAAGGUCUUCGUACCGGAAAACUCUUUUAUUAGGGAAGAACAAUUGUGGAAGUAGCUAUGCACGUCUGGACGGUACCUAAUCAGAAAGCCACGGCUAAAUACGUG
Molecule: ribosomal RNA, 492 nt
Filed under: uncultured bacterium
Lineage: Bacteria
Description: partial 16S ribosomal RNA
Rfam family: Bacterial small subunit ribosomal RNA
Source: RNAcentral